CCCUCCUACAAGGACCCACUCCGGAGAGUGGAGGUGGCCGGGCUCGGGGACCAGAGCAGCUUAGUCGCCGCCACGUGGCCGCGCGGCCGCCAACGCCCGGACGGCAGGUAAUUUUCAGCAACACAGCAGUAAAUAUGAACAUGGAGCACAUUAUUAUUGUAGAGCAUGCAGGGAGAAAAAAAGAAGCUAGCAUUUGAGAAAUGAAAUUUGCCCAGGAAAAGCUGAAUCAGACCUUGGAGAUUUGGAUACUUUGGCUGCCCUGCAUCGUUAAGGUUCAGGGAUAUGCAGUUGUAAAGCAAGUAACUUUUAUUCAUGACUUCCUCAUGUUUUCUUUAUUUCUACUCAUUACAGCAUGUUUAUUAUCA
Eptesicus fuscus (big brown bat) is the source of this 365-nucleotide long non-coding RNA. RefSeq lists it as uncharacterized. The record is from RefSeq and is a predicted model, not a curated record. Lineage: Eukaryota; Metazoa; Chordata; Mammalia; Chiroptera; Vespertilionidae. The transcript has 3 exons.